This 809-nucleotide long non-coding RNA is filed under the name Sander lucioperca (pikeperch). RNAcentral's name for it is "lncRNA (ENSSLUG00000008534.1)". Lineage: Eukaryota; Metazoa; Chordata; Actinopteri; Perciformes; Percidae. The record is from RNAcentral.
AGAAGAAUGGGUUACGUCCCUAAAGUUACGUAGCCUCUCGUCCCUCACCACGUUGUGACACUACGCAGGCUACAGCCAUGCUAUAAGCACGACGUGUUGAGCUAAACUGAACAAAAGAAGACACGUAGCUAGGCUAAUCUGUCGCACCGGUAAUUUCCACACAUGUCAAGAAGGCUGAAAUUCGGGCUCCUAGUUUUGCUGGGCAGCCUCUGGAUGUGGCCAAAUAACGUUGUCGCCGGGAACUCAGAAAACGUUCAAUUAAUUUGCCGAGAGAGCCUGGACGCAGCGGUCGGAGACAACGUCACUUUGGACUUCCACCUCGAGCCUGGAUCCGAUGCGACACAGUGGACAGCCUUUGUUUUUAAAUGCGAACAAAGUUCCGACAAUGUCCUGGUUUACAGAAGUGGAGGUUUUUCUGAUGAAGAUCAGGCAAACCGAUUCCGUGGCAGAGUAUCUCCUGACAGCAGCUGGGAACUAAGAGAAGGGCAACUAGCGUGGAAAAUCUCCCCAUUUGGAGAAAGUGACGCGGGAACAUACAAAUGCAUUGUUCGAACUAGAACUAGAACUCACCAACUCCCCUGUUCUACUGGACUGAAGAUCAAACAGUUCCAUCCACAUGAAGAAAGCAACACCACUGUAGUCAAUCCAUCAGAUGGUUACCAGCGACAUAAUACCAGCUCUUUGAUACCCAAAAAGCCAACAGAUGGUAACAACACUGGCUCUACCAACACUUUGUUUGCCGGGGCCAUCGCCGCCAUAGUCACAGCUGUUAUCAUCAGCAUCAUCAUCGCCAUCAUCUUCAUCGCUGG